RNAcentral lists this ribosomal RNA (419 nucleotides) under uncultured soil bacterium. RNAcentral describes it as "bacterial SSU rRNA". It matches the Rfam family "Bacterial small subunit ribosomal RNA", at positions 25 to 439 of the family's 1533-position model. The record is from RNAcentral.
CAGAGUGAACGCUGGCGGUAGGCCUAGCACAUGCAAGUCGAACGGCAGCACAGUAGGGGCUUGCUCUUACGGGUGGCGAGUGGCGGACGGGUGAGGAAUACAUCGGAAUCUACCUUUUGGUGGGGGAUAACGUAGGGAAACUUACGCUAAUACCGCAUACGCCCUUCGGGGGAAAGCCGGGGACCAGCAAUGGCCUGGCGCUGAUAGAUGAGCCGAUGUCGGAUUAGCUAGUUGGUGAGGUAAUGGCUCACCAAGGCGACGAUCCGUAGCUGGUCUGAGAGGAUGAUCAGCCACACUGGAACUGAGACACGGUCCAGACUCCUACGGGAGCAGCAGUGGGGAAUAUUGGACAAUGGGCGCAAGCCUGAUGCAGCAACGCCGCGUGAGGGACGACGGCCUCGGGUGUAAACCUCGUUUAG